Seriola aureovittata is the source of this 3066-nucleotide long non-coding RNA. RefSeq lists it as uncharacterized. The record is from RefSeq and is a predicted model, not a curated record. The transcript is spliced from 2 exons. NCBI's taxonomy places the organism in Eukaryota, Metazoa, Chordata, Actinopteri, Carangiformes, Carangidae.
UCAAGAUUUAUUCAGAAAGAAAAAUAAUGAAUUAAGUACAGGAUGCACAGACUUGAAAAAACAAUCUAAUUGAACAUGACUCUUUUUUCGCUUCCAUAUCUACUGGUCUGGGGGAACAGCUGCCUUAUAGAUUGUAACAGAGAAGAUGUGGAAUGCUUAAGAUCUGUAUUUUAUUUUAUUUUAUUUUAUUUUAUUAAGUUUUUUGAAGCAAUGUUAGCCACAAGGUGGCACAGCAAUACAGCCCUGCAAAAAUGAUGCAUCACUGUGACGUGCGGGGAGAAUAAACUGAAAGAGCUCUGGUUGCACACAAAUUCUGACAUUACAGACACUCAUAGAUGGAGUCUAUAUUUUAAUCUAAAUAUUAUUUCACUCUGUGAUCUAUGCUGCCUUAUUAGGUCAGAGGCUCAUUUUCAGCUGAUGUACUGUUUGGCAGAAACUCAGCCACUCAUCAGUAAAAGUAAAUCACUAACCAGUGAAUGAAGCCCAGAGGAUAAUCUGAUGUUUUAAAUCAUUUUUACUGCAGGUACAUGCUUCUUCUUCGUGUAUCACAGUCAUUUGUGUGAUCAUGGGUGUUAAAGCUGAGUAUGUAGGCAGUCCAUUUCGCACACCAUACUGUGGCUGUGGAAACAAAUACAACACAUUUUUUUUGUCCUUAAAACAAAACAGUGUUUUCACUCUGCCUUUAAAAAAGUGGCGUUGUAUUUAUCUGAGAACAAGUUCCUAUUUCACAGCAGAAGAAGUGAGACAGCUACUUUUAGAAAGCGUGUUGCUAGGCCAAGGAGUGUGUUUGCUGUAGUAAGUCCAGUUUUAGCUACAGAGAUCUUCUGCUCGCCCCUGUCUUAUUGCCUAGAAACCAGUUUCGAGCAAGUGUGAAGGAGUGGAAAACUUUUCUGGAGAACCAGCUGCGAGUGAACUGUCGAAAAGGUCAAGAAAGUGGCGUCAGGGACCGUCAAGUUAGAGGAUGCUAAUGCUAACACAGCCAAACUAACUGGAAAGCGUACGAAUUAGCGACUGGAAAAAAGUCACGAGAAUGAAGCAAGAAGUGAAACCAGGUGUACUGCCUGCAUUUAACAAGACAGGGCAACGCCGCGGAAAGAUUGUCUCUGUGCCUCUCCCAGCUUCCUGUCUCCCUAAUCCUUAAUCCUGUGGAAAUCGGUCAGGCAGAAUGAGCCAGCUUUGAUCAGGCUCUCAUAUCAGGCGUGCUAACAGUGUCAGCACCCCCGGAUCCCACAGAACCCUGGAGCCCAGGGGGAGAGCUUCAAACAGGCGUUCACCCCCCAACUCUGCUUGAGAGGAAGGGGAAAGGGAGGCUGCGGAGUUCCUGUUUCAACUGCCAGCCACAAACUCUGACAUCAAGUCAAGAAUGUCAUUUUUUAAAAUUUAGCAAACAUUUGCAUUGUGAUUUGACACCACUUAUAAACUAAACUUGCUGUGUGAAUAGAGAUCAGCAGCCAGUGUAAAACCACAUGCACCUGAGAACAGUCCACAGUACAGAGUACAGAUACAUGAAUGUCACUUCUGCUUUUGUCAGUGGUGUCCAUGACAGCAAGUAUGGCAUCUGUGUCGCUGGUGUUUUGGUAUUGUGAUCCACAGCCAGGGAUAAUACUUGCUGGAGUGGCAUGUCGCGAAACACCUGGUGAUCUUGUGGCACAAAUGCAUCAUUAAAGGUCAGCUUUGUACACAGUUAGGGAAAAAGAAAUACACAAACUGAAAUGUGCCAAAGCGAUUUCUGCUUUGUGCCCAUUUUUUUGUUCAGCCCUGAAGAUAUGUUUGGAAUGGUCACUGCAAUAGAAUAAUUCAACAAACACGCUGCCUUCACAUCAGGUUAGUGUUUGAGGAGGGUAACCUUUUUAAAAAUCAUUGCAUUCUUUUAAUAAUUGAUUGUCUCUGUAUGCAGAUGUAGAAAGAUUAUCCUAUAGAUUAGGAUUAUGUCAAAGAGUAAUUCAGACAGCAUACAACCUUGCAGAACCAACAGAAAUUGUACAUAAAGGUUUUCUCUUCUCACAACCACAUGACCUGGAGGUUUGAGCUCUCUGCAGAUCUACAACAAUACUGACAGUGUACUCAGUCUCCCCAUUUAAUCAGUUCGGAAGUGUAAUCAGGUGCUUUAAAUCAGCCAGAGAAAUGAAGCAUUUAGCCGAGCCAGUCUGCCGGAUGUGCAACAUCUGAUACGUGACCACCUGUUAUAAUGAGCUCUAUUCUUAAACUGAAGAUGGUAAAGGGAAAACUCAUAGCACUGUUGUCAUUAUUCUGGUUUAUAAAAGGUUAAAGUUAAGUGUAAAUUUUGCAAACAGGACCUACACCGUGAUGUGGUGUCUGCAUCAAUUAUUGCACCAAAUAAUGGAGCAGAUGAAGUUCUUAUAUGGCUAGAACAGUAAAUUCCUCAAAGUGGAAGUGCCUGAAGAAAAAGAUAAUAUAUAUUAUAUAUAAAUCCUCUUUUUUUGUAAGACUCACUACCCUUGCAUGCUGUAGCCUUGACUACCUUUCCCAAAGUAAAUGCUGACAUCUAGUGGACACAUCUAUGUUCUACACUGUGUCUGUGGUCUAUUUGAAUACGUUUUUGUUUUGAGCAUUAAAAUAAUUUAUUAAAAAGUAAUAGGAUUUAUAUGCGUUAUAAAUUAAAUUAUUAACAUUUUUAACACAAAUUCCUAUCAGUGCAACAUCAAAAGAGCAAAUUUCAACUGAAGUUAAAAGUGAAAGACUUCUUAUUGGUAUUUCCUUUGUAAAAAAUGUAGCAGUGGACAGAUUACUUAAAUCUCUCAUUUAUUUACUUAAUGAUGACUACACCCUGUGCUUAUCUUAGUGCACUUUACACACAACAAUUCAGAUAUUAUACUGUUAUCUACUUUCUUACAGCUAUUUUUAUUUACACUUACAUAAGCAACACCUUUCUGUAACUUAUGUAGUUUUUUAUAAAAUGGGUGUCAUCGACUUGAAUCUAAAAAUGCUGUUAGCAAUCAAGACUUGAUUAACAAUAUUUACACAAUACUCCCUCCUGGAUAUUGAUAUUUCUCUUUUUGUAGAAUUGUGAUUUUUAAAAAUGCAAAUAAAGACUUUUGUCACAGA